Molecule: ribosomal RNA, 253 nt
Filed under: uncultured bacterium
Lineage: Bacteria
Description: partial 16S ribosomal RNA
Rfam family: Bacterial small subunit ribosomal RNA
Source: RNAcentral
UACGGAGGGGGCUAGCGUUGUUCGGAAUUACUGGGCGUAAAGCGCACGUAGGCGGCUUUGUAAGUUAGAGGUGAAAGCCCGGGGCUCAACCCCGGAAAUGCCUUUAAGACUGCAUCGCUUGAAUCCAGGAGAGGUGAGUGGAAUUCCGAGUGUAGAGGUGAAAUUCGUAGAUAUCGUAAGGAAGACCAGUGGCGAAGGCGGCUCACUGGACCGUUGUUGACGCUGAGGUGCGAAAGCGUGGGGAGCAAACAGG